AUCCUGAAGAUCUUCGUGGACAAUCUCUUUGCUAUCGUCCUGCUGAAGCAGGCCACAGCUGUGCGCUGCUUGGACAUGAGUGCCUCCCGUAAGAAGCUGGCCGUGGUAGAUGAAAAUGACACUUGCCUGGUGUAUGACAUCGACACCAAGGAGCUGCUUUUUCAGGAACCAAACGCCAACAGUGUGGCCUGGAACACCCAGUGUGAGGACAUGCUCUGCUUCUCGGGAGGAGGCUACCUCAACAUCAAAGCCAGCACCUUCCCUGUGCACCGGCAGAAGCUGCAGGGCUUUGUGGUCGGCUACAAUGGCUCCAAGAUCUUCUGCCUCCAUGUCUUCUCCAUUUCUGCUGUGGAGGUGCCGCAGGUAACUGGGGGUGCCUGUCCACUCUUAGCACUGGCAAGGCUGACAAGACCAGGGAAGCUGGGCCCUUUGCUGGUGCUUUGGGGAGAGAGUAGCAAGGAGAGAAGAAUGGCAGCUGUGAUGUCGUGGGAGGCAGUCUGGGCCUGGAACCUGCCGCCCUGUCUCCACUCCUUGCAACCUCUGUGACUGGGGGCAAACAGCUCAACCUCCCUG
Molecule: small RNA, 573 nt
Filed under: Pan troglodytes (chimpanzee)
Lineage: Eukaryota; Metazoa; Chordata; Mammalia; Primates; Hominidae
Description: retained intron
Source: RNAcentral